RNAcentral lists this long non-coding RNA (9490 nucleotides) under Equus asinus (donkey). Its description in RNAcentral is "lncRNA (ENSEASG00005023741.1)". Lineage: Eukaryota; Metazoa; Chordata; Mammalia; Perissodactyla; Equidae. The record is from RNAcentral.
GGAUGAGAACGACUUCCUGAAGCUGCUGCGUUUGGGCCUGUUAGGGAUCUUCCUUGUAAAGACCUCGUUUGCAUAAGUUCAGGGCAGGCUAUGAAGAAACUGAGGCACAGAGGAGUGAAAUCAUUGGCUCAGUGCCCCACAUCUCUCUCCAGAGAAGGAAGAGGAAGGCGGAGCAUGGGCAGGUCACGACUGGAGAGGGAGACGGGGUCCGAAGUUGCUGAGAGAGAUAAGAGAAUGGGGAUUCAGGCAAUGGUGGGAACCAAGGCGAGGCCGAGGGACCGGCCCCUGACGAUGAGCGGGGACGGGAUGGGGGCCUUGGAGAGUGAGGGAUGUGAUCGAUUCCCCGAGAGCACCAAAGGGACCCGCGGACAGAAGCGAAGGCUGAAGUCAGGGGACGGGAAUGUCGAGCCGGGGAGGUGGCCGUGGGUGACGGGACGCAGGCUCUGCGGCUCCGGGGGAGGCGGGAACAGCGAGCAUCCCCGUCCCCUGCCUCCGGGUGGCCCUGCCCCUCCCUGGGCCGUGUCACCGUGCAGCUCCUCCCGUCGAGAGAUGGAAUCUGCUUCCCCAGCCCCCAAACUGGACCCCGCAGCUCGCGGUGGCCGGUCAAACGCAGCCAGGCGAGCGUGUCCGGGUUCCCAGACAACGCCUUCAGGGCCUCUGAGGGUUUCUCUUCUCGCUCUGGCUUCUCUGCCUCCUCUGCAAGAACAUGCCCGGGCCGGCCCGCGGCGGGGUGCGGGAUGCGAGGGAAAGGUCGAGAAGAACUGAGUCAUCCCGGCUGGAGUCAUCCUCGACCAGCCAGCCUCUCGAGGGCCCGCCAGACGACGGCAGCUUCAUGAGCGAGCUCCGCCGGGGUCCACAGAGCCUGGCCCGGAUUAGCAGAACUGUCCAGAGGACCCAAAGAGACGUUUCUCUUCUGGCCAAGCCUAACCCGGAACCACGGAUGGAAGGGCACUCUGAGACACGAGGCCCUGUCUCAGCUACGUUGUCACAAGGUGCAGCCAUUGCGGGCGCAGAGGGACGUCUUUGUCCAUCAGAUGGCGGCCCUGCCCCGCGUGUGGCCCUCAGUGGGGUCCAGCGACUUCACGAGCCUCGAGCUCCCUACUGGGGCACCGGGCUCUGCGAUGUCUGCCCCCUGACCUCAGCCAGGACCUCCUCGCCCGUCCCGGUCGCACUGCUCCUCCUCGAGCUCCUCAGGCCUCCAUGGGGCACCCUGGCCCUUGGACUUCAGUGCCCUUGGCCUGGGGUCCCCGCUCCAGGCCUCGGCCUCCAUGGCCCUGCCUCCCCCUGGAACAUUUCCCUCCCUUUCUUGUGCGUCUCCCGCACGAGGACGUCCCCUCCUCGAGGCCCCUCAGCAGGCAUCCCGGCUCGGAGCAGGCAUUCUGCCCGUGGUAACCCUCUGCCUGCAGGAGCCUUCGAGUCGGAAGAGACGGGCCGUCCGGAGGAUGCUGGCGGGAGGUGCGCCCGUCCUGCAACAGGAGGAUGAGGCCGACCCAGACGUGUGAGUGGCCGGGGAGGCCAGUCCCAGCCUGAGUCUUUGUUCUCUGUUAUUUUAUGUCUUUUUUAAAUCUCUCCAACGAUCGUGAAGUCAGUUUAGGGCUUCUUAGUCUGUUCCAGCUGCUGCAGCAAAAAUGCCAUAAACUGAGCGGCUUGUAAACAGUAAACACAUAUUUCUCACUGUUCUGGAGGACGGGAGGUCCGAGAUCAGGGUGCAGGCAGGCUCGGUGUCUGGUGAGGGCCCGCUUCCUCACAGACAGUUGUUUUUGCACGAUAAUCUCACAUGGCAGGGGGACGGGGAGGGUCUCUCUCUCUCUUUUUUUUUUUUUUUGCUGAGGAAGAUUGGCCCUGAGCUAACUUCUGUUGCCAAUCCUCCUCUUUUUUUGCUUGAGGAAGAUUGUUGCUGAGCUAACAUCUGUGCCCAUCUUCCUCUACUUUGUAUGUGGGAUGCCGCCACAGCAUGGCUGAUGAGCGGAGCAGGACCACUCUGGGAUCUGAACCCACAAACCCUGGGCCGCGGAAGCAAAAUGUGCAAACUUCACCACUCUGCCACCAGGCUGGCCCCUUUACACAUUUUUAACAGCACGGCGGUGGUGUUCCUUGUCAAGGCAAGCAGCACGUGAUCUCCUUCUAGUGCAAUAUGCCUGGCAGCCCCGUCUCCUCUGUCCCCAUUUGUCUAAUCAUGCGAGCUCCCAGAUACACCCCCCCGUACCGGCCCUGGGAGGGAGAAGAAAGCACAGGCCCAGGAGUCGGGAGAGCUGCAUCUGGCUCUGUUUCUGCCACUGACUUGCUGUGUGACUUUGGGCAAGCCCCUGGCCCUCUCUGGGCCUCAAUUUCCAGAUCUGUGCACAUUGAGAGGAUUGGACUGGAGGACGUCUCUGGGCCUUUCCAGUCCUACAUCCUGUUCCAUUCUUUCCUAAAUUGAGGUGAGUUUUCUUUGGGGAUUUGGGAGAAUUCUGAGGCUCUACCAGAGAUAACAGGAAGUGUCCUUAGGGUGGGAAGCUCUGACCCAUGGGGCUGACCCCCCAGAGUCACUCUGUCCCCACCUGGGUGAGCCAGCGCCACAGAGGACAGCCCUGCCCUGGGGCCACCCAGUUGUGGCCCAUUCACGAAGCACCAGAAGGCACUGGCUGUCCCGGGAGGCAUCCGGGCCUCGGGGCGCAGACGCGGGGCACCUCCUGUCUCCUCCAGCAACGCCUGGCACAGCGAGGCCCCAGGGCCUUUGCUCGCGCCGGCCUCCCUCCCGGCCAAUUAACCGUUAACCUGAGCCCAGCAGGUCACAACGCAGCCAGGCCUUUCUUGAAAGUCUUCCCGUGUUCUCGUUGUGGCUCCCAGUCCCGUGGUUCACUGUCCACAACCCGUGGGGCAGAAACCAAGGUCAGACAGCUUGUGGUUCGGGGACCUGGGUUCAAAUCCAGGUCUUUGGAUUCUGACUCCUCCAUUUACCAGGUUAGUCUCUCUGUGCCUCAGUUUACUCAUCUGGAAAAUGGGGAUUCAUAAUCGUAUCUGCCUCACGGGGCAUCCAUAUGGAUUCAAUGAGGUCAUGUAUGUAAAGAGCUUCACAUAGCGUCCAGCACACAGUGGGGGUGAUUCUGUGCUGCUGCCGUCCUCCCCCACCCUCCGGGCCUGAGCUCAAGUCCCACUCGGAACUCACCCGUGUGAGUCCCUCCCGGGCCCCAGGAGCUGCAUGCGGCACCUUCACAUACGUGUUCCAUGAACGCCUUUCACUGUGGAAUUAUAACUGCAGAACAUAAGCUAUAGGAAACCUUAUUUAAUUUCCUAAUUUAAAAUCUUUCUUUCUUUCUUUCUUUUUUUUUUUUUUUUUGGUGAGGAAGAUUGGCCCUGAGCUAACAUCUGUUGCCAGUCUUCCUCUUUUUUUUGGUUUUCUCCCCAAAGCCCCCUGGUACAUAGUUGUAUUUUUAGUUGUGGGUCCCUCUAGUUGUGGCAUGUGGGACGCCGCCUCAGCAUGGCUUGAUGAGCAGUGUCAUGUCCGCACCCAGGAUCCGAACCGGCAAAACCCUGGGCCGCUGAAGCAGAGCGCCUGGACCUAACCACUCAGCCAUGGACCCAAGCUCUAAUUUUAAUUUUUAAUUACUAAAUUCUAAUUAAAAUUUCUUGAGAUUUUUAACUGAAUCACUUGAUUUGAAGUUUAAUUGAAAGAACAAAUUUUAAUGUUUUAAUCAAUCAUUUUAAUUUAACUUUAAUCAAUACAUUUAAAUUCGUAACUUUAUAAUUUUAUCAAUACAUUUUAAUGUUUUCAUUUAAUUAGUGUUUCCAUGUCAUUUUAGUGAGUAAGUUUAAAUUUUAAUGAAUAUGUUUUCAUAUAAAUUUUUAAAUUUUGUAGAAAAUUAAAACCCUCCCUGAGGACGCCAAAGGCCUCCUGGAGCCAUCGCCCAUGCCAGCCCCCUCCCCAGAAGGAACCGCCAUCUCUCCGGGGUCCCCAUGUGCAUGCAUCUCCUGACCCCCUAACUCCUUCCCCCCCAUCCGCCCCCACCCCACAGGCCAGACCAUGAAGAGCAUCUUCAGUCGUCAUGGUGACAGAUACUGCUGGCUGCCCACCCAAUGGUCAUCACCUCCCCUUCCCUCACCUUGCCUUGGCUAAUAGAUCCCCAGUUUGGUUUUGGGUGGUGACAUGGCCCAUCCUGGGGCACUGAUCAUAAUUGCCCAAGCCAAUUGAUCUGUCCCAUCCCUCUUGUCAGUUACACGCUUGUUUGGCUAUGUGACAUCCCCCACCCACCCGCCACCUCCCUGCUCCAGCCAAGACUGCUUGGAGGAUUUCUGAAGAAAGUCAGUCAAUUAUCUCCUGCCACAGGAAUGCUGUGUAAGACGCAACCACCGAACCUUGGUGGAGGAUAAGAGUGAGCGUUUCCUGCUCGUGCCCCUGGAGUGAGCCGGGGGCGGGCUCAGUGGCUCUGCGGGUCUUGGCGGGGCUCGCUCGCAGGUCUGGCGAGUGGAGGUGUUGAGUGAGGGAGACUGGGCCUGGGCCGCUAGAGCAGCUCGACGGCUCCACGCGCCUCUCUCGCCCGCCUGCAAGCCAGCCCAGCCUCACAAGCCCAACUCAAGCUUCUGCUGGUGUCACGUCUCCUGAUGCCCCACCGGCCAGGGCUGAGCCCAGAGCCAGAGUAGGAGGGCGCCACCAAGUUUCAAGGCCAAGGCAUGGAUCCAGGGAAAAGAGGAGAACAGGGCAGUGUUUGCAAUCUACCAGAGAAACUCUUUCUGGAUAAAAAUAUCGAGACUCUAAGAAGAAAGGCUUUUGCUAUUGCUUUCUACCUUUCCCACUUGGGACAAUGGAGCAGAUACGUGAUGGUUGGAGCUGCAGCAGCCAUCUUGUGACCAUGAGGCAACAAGCAUGAGGAUCAAAAACAUGAGUACUCUGAGAACAGCAGAGCAGAAGGAUAUGAAAGCCUGAUGAUGUGGCUGAGCUGUGGAACCAUCCCUGGCCACCUACCUCCAGUCAUUGUUGGUUGAGUGUUAUUUUUUCCUGUAGCCAAACUCAUCCUAACAGAUAUCGCUUGAUUCUAGGGCUGCUGAGCAUGCCCUUUUUCAAGAAAUGCCUAUCUCUAUCCCAGCCUCUACCUCAGUGCUUGACAUUUGUAUUUUCCAAAUCUAGCCACAAAACAUGUCCCACUCCACAUGCUCUUUUUUUUUUUUUUUUUUUGGUGAGGAAGAUUGGCCCUGAUCUAAUAUCUAUGUCAAUCUUCCUCUAUUUUGUACGUGGGAUGCUGCCACAGCAUGGCUUGAUGAGGGGUGUGUGGUUCCAGCCUGGGAUCCAAAAGUGCAAAUCCCAGCUUGCCAAAGCAGAGGGCGCAAACCUAACCACUACACCACCAGGCCAGCCCCUCACAUGCUCUUCUUACAAUGUGACUUUGGCGUAUCUCCUGCUACGAGUUGGGGUUCUAGGUUCCUUACCCUUGAAUCCGGGCAGGCUUGGGUCUAUAGCAGAAGUGACCUGUUACAGGUUGAACGGUGUCCCUCCCCCACCCCAAAUUUCUCUAUUGGAGUCCCAACUCUCGACACCUCAGAAUGUAACCUUGCUCAGAAAUAGGGUUGGCGACCUCACACAAAGGAGACCCCUGGACACAGACGCGCACACGGGGAGAGAGCCAUGUGAAGGUGGAGGCAGAGAUGGGGGUGACGCAGCCACAGCAACGAACCCCAAGGUCGGCCAGCAAACCACGGGAGCUGGAGAGAGGCUGGACCGGGCUCCCCCUCGGCCUCGGGGGGACCAGCUGACACCUGCAUCCUGGACCUUGAGCCGCCGGAGUUAGAAGCGAGACAGUUAGUCUCGGUGCUUUAAGCCACGCGGUUUGCGGGACUUUGUCACCACAGGCCCACCCUGUCGCUGGAACAGAGUGUCGCCACGAGGACAACAGCCUUGCUGAGUUCUCUGGGUCCUUCCAGCAAACCCUUCACCCUGCGGGUGGCCUUGGGGACCCCGAGGUUCCGCCCAGCCCUUCACACGCUGGGUUGUCCCUCCCCGGUCACGCCUGCCCACCCACCCCGCCACGGCGCCAUCCCCACGCCCCGGGAGGAAGCCGCUGGGCUCUCAGCUCCCUUUCCCCAGGACGGAAGGAAAAGUCUGAGAACUCACUUACACUCGGGAUUCAACCACGAUUCUCAUUUGACUUCAUGUUGUUUUCAAUGACUUUAUUGAGGUCAUGUUGGUUUAUAACAUUGUGCAAUUUCAGGUGCACGUUAUUACAUAUCAGCUUCGGUGUAGACUGCAUCGUGCUCACCACUGAUGGUCUGGUUUUUAUCCAUCACUAUAUAUAUGCGCCCGUUUAUCUCUCUCACCUUACCCCCAGCCCCUUUCUCUCUGGUAACCACUAAUCUGUUCUCUUUAUCCGUGUAUUUUUUAUCUUCCACAUAGGAGUGAAAUCACAUGGCGUUUGUCUUUCUCUGUCUGGCUUAUUUCGCUUAAUGUCAUUCCCUCAAGGUCCAUCCAUGUUGUUGCAAAUGGGACGAUUCUGUCCUUUUUAUGGCUGAGUAGUAUUCCACUCUCUCUCUAUACCAUGUCUUUGUUAUCCAUUCAUCCAUAGAGGGGAACUUAGGUUGUUUCCACAUCUUGGCCAUUGUGAAUAAUGCUGCUGUGAACCUAGGGGAGCAUGAGUCUCUUUCCCUGAUUCUUUUUUUUUUUUGAGGAAGAUUAGCCAAUCCUCCUCUUUUUGCUGAGGAAGACUGGCCCUGAGCUAACAGCGUGCCCAUCGUCCUCUACUUUAUACAUGGGACGCCUACCACAGCAUGGCGUGCCAAGUGGUGCCAUGUCCGCACCCGGGAUCUGAACCAGCGAACCCCGGGCCACCAAAAUGGAACAUGUGCACUUAACCCCUGCACCACCAGGCCAGCCUCUCCUUGAUUCUUAUUUUAAGAGCCUCGAGCUGGUAGGAUGGAAGGAUGGGGGUCAAGCAAGUGAGAAAUGAAGGGGAGACCAGCGGAGCCGGGAAAAUCCCAGUGUUCCGGCUCACAUUCCAGGGUCGUCUUCCUGGGGCCCCGGGGAUGUCACUCCAGACGCAGACAGGGGCCCCUGCACUGUUCAGAAUGCCGCUCGUGCAACGGCUCUCACGCUUGAGUGACUGUCCCCUCGGGGACAUUCUGGGUGCCCCAAGGCAGGAAGGGGUGCUCGGGCCUCUGGUGGGUGAAGGCCAGGGGGGUGCUGACACCCGACGGUGCACAGGCCCCCGCGGCACAGGGCGACCUGAGCCCCAGGGUCAGGAGGUGGAGGCCAGGAGCUCCCCACAGCCAACCGAACAAAGUCCAAAAUCUCCCGCACUGUCAUGGGCCGUUGAAGUCGCCUCUUCUGUGAAAUGAGCCGUGGAAGCUGAGCUCCUCCUUCAGAAUCAACCGAAAGCUGCCAGUGUUGUUUUUCCAGUGUUUGGGGCCGCGUGAUUUCCCAACACUGAUUUCCUACGUGCCAGACCCUGCUGGGUUACGAGAGACACAGAGAUGAGUAACAGAGUGUCUUACGUCUGGAUUUGGCAAGACGGUCAGAUACCAAGGGACUGAGGAUUUUUAAUCUACUCGUUCAACCGAGAAGUAUUUACUGAACACCCGUGGUGGUGAAAACGAUGGGCUUGUCCCCACCUCCGCCUCUGCCCAGCUGUGCAGCCUUGAGAAAGUGACUUAACCUCUCUGAGCCGGAUUCCUCAUCUGGAAAAUAGGGAGGAUGAGAAUAUUUCUAUCUCAUCAAGAGGUUGUGAGGACUGAUGAUGUCUUGACAAGUGCUGCGGGGGACGGACUGUUGAAUGAGGCCAGGUCACGCUUGCAAGGAGCAUGCGGUCUGGUAGGAGAAGCAGAAGAGUUACAAAAACAGAGAAUAGAAUAAUGAGAUGGGGGCCGGCCCGGGGCCGAGUGGUUAAGUUCGUGCGCUCUGCUUCAGUGGCCCAGGGUCUCGUCAGUUCGGAUCCUGAGCACGGACAUGGCACCACUCGUCAGGCCAUGCUGAGGCGGCGUCCCACAUGCCACAACUAGAAGGACCCACAACUAAAAAUACACAACUUUGUACCAGGGGGCUUUGGGGAGAAGCAGAAAAAAAGAGGAAGAUGGGCACAGAUGUUAGCUCAGGGCUAAUCUUCCUCAGCAAAACAAAACAAAACAAAAAAAAAGAGUGUACAAUUCAGGGGCAUUUUGUACAAUUACAACGUUGAACAACCAUCACUCCUAUCUAGUUCCAGAACAUUUUCAUCCCCCUAAAAGGAAACCCCUUACUCAUUAAAUAGUCACUCCACAUUCCCCGACCCCCAUCUCGGGGCAACCCCUAAUCUACUUGCUGUCUCUCUGGAUUUGCCUGUUCUGGACAUUUCACAUAAAUGGAACCAUGUGGUCGAUGACCUUGUGUGUCCGGCUUCUUUCACUCAGUGGGAUGUUUUCAAGGUUCAUCCAUGUUGUAGCAUCUAUGAGAGCUUCGCUCCUUUUCACGGCUGCAUAAUAUUCCACCGUAUGGCUAUACCAUGUUCCAUUUAUCCAUUCACCUGUGGAUGGGCAUGUGGGUUGUUUCCACCUUUUGGCUAUCAUGGCUGGCGCUGACUCGAGUUUUUUAAGGCAUUUUUCUCCAGGAGGGCUGUCUUGAUGGGAAAUGCCCCUCCACACACCAACCUUAAAAAUAGGUCUCCACUUAAAAACAGGGGAAAAAGGCCAUUUGCACAGAUGCCAGCGUCUCCUCCAGACAGGGAGAAGCUGCCAUUUUGAGGCUGGUUCUGGUGACCUUCCGCCUCCCACUGCUUUCCUCCUGUGGGUGUCACCGGGGUUGGAGAUGCGUGGCCCGUGUGAGACUGGAAGCCCUCCCACAGGCGGGAAUUCUCAGUCUGUUCUGGGCACAUGGUGAGCACCUGGCAAACCAGUAUGUGAUAGUGAAGCACAGGCACAGAUCCCUCUCUGAGAUUUUCUAGCCUUUUUUUUUUUUUUUUUUUUUUUUUUUUUUGCUGAGGAAGAUUGGUCCUCAGCUAACAUCUAUGCUGAUCUUCCUCUGUUUUACAUCGGAUGCGGCCACAGUGUGGCUUGACGAGCAGUGCUAGGUCCACACCCAGGAUCCAAACCUAUGAACCCCAGGCCGCCAAAGCAGAGCACACAAACUCAACCACUACACCACCAGCCCAGCCCUCUUAAAAAUUUUUUAAAAUGAAAUAUUGAGCAGAUAUUUAAAAAAAUAAAAUAUAUAUAAGAUAUAAAGAAUAAGAACAAAAUAAAUAUCCAUGGGCCCCUCACUCAAUUUAAGAAAAAACUUCCGCAUCCUCUGAAGCUCCCCUGGGGGCCCUUCUCCGUCUCAUUCCCCUCCCUCGCCCCUCAGAGGUAACCACUUUGCUAAACCUUGUGUUUGUCUUCCCCUCACUUUUAAAAGAUAAUCUACAAUAUAUUUGUGUCCCUAAACUGUACCCUGUGUGGUUUCGUCCGUGUUUUGAAAUUUUAUAAGCACAUCUGUAUUGUCGUGUGUAACUGAAAGCAACUGAUUUUUCACAGCUGUAUAAUAUUCCAUUGAAUAAAUAUAUCACGAUUUAACCAG